UGGUUAUGUUGGAAGUGCUCCGUGUUAC
This 28-nucleotide non-coding RNA is filed under the name Homo sapiens (human). The record is from RNAcentral. Lineage: Eukaryota; Metazoa; Chordata; Mammalia; Primates; Hominidae.